GGUGGGGCGAUUUGUCUGGUUUAUUCCGAUAACGAACGAGACUCUGGCCUACUAACUAGUGACAGAAUUAUUGCUGUUCUGGUUACUUCUUAGAGGGACAAAUGGUGUUCAGCCACACGAAAUUGAGCAAUAACAGGUCUGCGAUGCCCUUAGAUGUCCGGGGCUGCACGCGUGCUACACUGGAGGAAACAGCAUGCAAAACCAUUGCCGAGAGGCAUUGGUAAACCCAAGAAAAUCUUCCGUGAUCGGGAUCGGGAAUUGCAAUUAUUUCUCUUGAACGAGGAAUUCCCAGUAAGUGUGGGUCAUCAGCUUGCGCUGAAUACGUCCCUGCCCUUUGUAC
RNAcentral lists this ribosomal RNA (340 nucleotides) under Nematoda environmental sample. Its description in RNAcentral is "SSU rRNA". It matches the Rfam family "Eukaryotic small subunit ribosomal RNA", at positions 1300 to 1665 of the family's 1831-position model. Lineage: Eukaryota; Metazoa; Nematoda. The record is from RNAcentral.